RNAcentral lists this ribosomal RNA (696 nucleotides) under Listeria monocytogenes. Its description in RNAcentral is "bacterial SSU rRNA". It matches the Rfam family "Bacterial small subunit ribosomal RNA", at positions 844 to 1533 of the family's 1533-position model. The record is from RNAcentral. Lineage: Bacteria; Bacillati; Bacillota; Bacilli; Caryophanales; Listeriaceae.
UGCUGCAGCUAACGCAUUAAGCACUCCGCCUGGGGAGUACGACCGCAAGGUUGAAACUCAAAGGAAUUGACGGGGGCCCGCACAAGCGGUGGAGCAUGUGGUUUAAUUCGAAGCAACGCGAAGAACCUUACCAGGUCUUGACAUCCUUUGACCACUCUGGAGACAGAGCUUUCCCUUCGGGGACAAAGUGACAGGUGGUGCAUGGUUGUCGUCAGCUCGUGUCGUGAGAUGUUGGGUUAAGUCCCGCAACGAGCGCAACCCUUGAUUUUAGUUGCCAGCAUUUAGUUGGGCACUCUAAAGUGACUGCCGGUGCAAGCCGGAGGAAGGUGGGGAUGACGUCAAAUCAUCAUGCCCCUUAUGACCUGGGCUACACACGUGCUACAAUGGAUAGUACAAAGGGUCGCGAAGCCGCGAGGUGGAGCUAAUCCCAUAAAACUAUUCUCAGUUCGGAUUGUAGGCUGCAACUCGCCUACAUGAAGCCGGAAUCGCUAGUAAUCGUGGAUCAGCAUGCCACGGUGAAUACGUUCCCGGGCCUUGUACACACCGCCCGUCACACCACGAGAGUUUGUAACACCCGAAGUCGGUAGGGUAACCUUUAUGGAGCCAGCCGCCGAAGGUGGGACAGAUAAUUGGGGUGAAGUCGUAACAAGGUAGCCGUAUCGGAAGGUGCGGCUGGAUCACCUCCUUUCUAAGGAA